RNAcentral lists this ribosomal RNA (1129 nucleotides) under Stutzerimonas stutzeri. Its description in RNAcentral is "bacterial LSU rRNA". It matches the Rfam family "Bacterial large subunit ribosomal RNA", at positions 1743 to 2865 of the family's 2925-position model. The record is from RNAcentral. Lineage: Bacteria; Pseudomonadati; Pseudomonadota; Gammaproteobacteria; Pseudomonadales; Pseudomonadaceae.
GAGGGUGAAUGACUUGCUCAGUAAGCUCAUGCCGGUCGAAGAUACCAGGCCGCUGCGACUGUUUAUUAAAAACACAGCACUCUGCAAACACGAAAGUGGACGUAUAGGGUGUGACGCCUGCCCGGUGCCGGAAGGUUAAUUGAUGGGGUUAGCGCAAGCGAAGCUCUUGAUCGAAGCCCCGGUAAACGGCGGCCGUAACUAUAACGGUCCUAAGGUAGCGAAAUUCCUUGUCGGGUAAGUUCCGACCUGCACGAAUGGCGUAACGAUGGCGGCGCUGUCUCCACCCGAGACUCAGUGAAAUUGAAAUCGCUGUGAAGAUGCAGUGUAUCCGCGGCUAGACGGAAAGACCCCGUGAACCUUUACUGUAGCUUUGCACUGGACUUUGAGCCUGCUUGUGUAGGAUAGGUGGGAGGCUUUGAAGCGUGGACGCCAGUUCGCGUGGAGCCAUCCUUGAAAUACCACCCUGGCAUGCUUGAGGUUCUAACUCUGGUCCGUCAUCCGGAUCGAGGACAGUGUAUGGUGGGCAGUUUGACUGGGGCGGUCUCCUCCUAAAGAGUAACGGAGGAGUACGAAGGUGCGCUCAGACCGGUCGGAAAUCGGUCGCAGAGUAUAAAGGCAAAAGCGCGCUUGACUGCGAGACAGACACGUCGAGCAGGUACGAAAGUAGGUCUUAGUGAUCCGGUGGUUCUGUAUGGAAGGGCCAUCGCUCAACGGAUAAAAGGUACUCCGGGGAUAACAGGCUGAUACCGCCCAAGAGUUCAUAUCGACGGCGGUGUUUGGCACCUCGAUGUCGGCUCAUCACAUCCUGGGGCUGAAGCCGGUCCCAAGGGUAUGGCUGUUCGCCAUUUAAAGUGGUACGCGAGCUGGGUUUAGAACGUCGUGAGACAGUUCGGUCCCUAUCUGCCGUGGACGUUUGAGAUUUGAGAGGGGCUGCUCCUAGUACGAGAGGACCGGAGUGGACGAACCUCUGGUGUUCCGGUUGUCACGCCAGUGGCACUGCCGGGUAGCUAUGUUCGGAAGAGAUAACCGCUGAAAGCAUCUAAGCGGGAAACUUGCCUCAAGAUGAGAUCUCACUGGAGCCUCGAGCUCCCUGAAGGGCCGUCGAAGACUACGACGUUGAUAGGCAGGG